UAUAGUCCGGAGUUACCUAGGCGUAAUUCCUGAGCGCACCCCAGCGUUGGCCAGCGUUGGCCAGUAUGCGGAACGUGUGUAGGACACACGAGGCUGGCGAUACCUAACGCUGCGCAGAAUCGUAUCGGCUAUGGUGUAACAUGAGUUAGACGAGCCGUAUUUAAUUGUGCACCAGUGUGAAAAGGGACCUUGGAAAGAAUGCCGUCGAUAUCACGCACGGUCUCGCCCUCGAUAAUCGUUCUCUUAAUAUUUCAGUGUUAUUCGGGAGUUCGUGGUUCUUCGAUAAAGUCUUUGGAUGUGCCGAUGGCUGUGCGCAAUGGUACCGGACCGGUGGAUUUGAUCUGUGCCUACCAGAUCAACGAAAACGAAAACGGACUUGUAAUCAAAUGGUUUCACGAAGCGUAUCAAAUCUAUCAGUGGAUACCGCCAAUACCGCCACAAGAUAUUGGAAUCAUCGAAGGACUCGCGGAGUAUCCAGCUGAAAACCUAAAAGAUCCAUAUUCACGUUCGGUAAUACGAUUGAAGACCGUUACGAUAAACAUGACAGGAGAAUAUACGUGUACGAUUAGUACAUUCCAGGAUGAAGCGAGCAAUUCGACGAAGAUGAUUGUUUAUGUGCCGGAAAGCAACAUGACGGUGCUCACUUAUCCUUUUAAUAAGACUCACGUGAAUUUAACGUGUGUGGUGAUGGGUGCGUUACCACGACCGUCUCUGAAGCUUUACGUCGAAGGGGUCGAAAGCAGCAGUUGUGAAAGCGAUCGGGGACCCUUAACGGACUGGUACAAGGAUAAUCCUCGAACAUCAUUGGACAUCAUCAUCGAGAAUACGUUGGAUCCCGCUGUCAUCGAGUGCGAAAUGUCGAUCCCCGAAACGGAGUAUAAGCGUCGAGAACGGAUCGUCUACUAUCCUACGCAAUUACUACCCUAUCGCACAAAUGUUUCACAAGGGAGGCACUACGCGAUGUUGCUUGUCGAUAUCCUUUGUAUUGCCAUUCUUAGAUUAAUAUGGUAGGAUUAAAAUAGACUGAUUUAAUCGCAAAUUGUACUCCAGGGAAAUAAACAGAUAUUUAAUGUAAUUUAAUUUUGGACCUCGAGCCAUAAACUAUAGUUUUGAAAAAAAAAAGAAAUAAAAGCACUUUAUAUCUUAAAUUGAUCAUCUAUUUAACCUACUUUUUUAUUUUCCCAAAAACAGAUAAAUAUGUGUCACUCGAAUUUAAAUUCGUUGAUUUUCCGAUGAUUUAAUAUUUGUGAUUUGACCUUUUGCGUGUAGCAGUCAUAGCUAUAUCGAAAUGACAAGGUGGGUGCGUGCAUUGGGGGUGGGAGAGGUAAUCUUGGAUAGUGGGGAUGAUAUCUAGAAGUAGCGGCACCCCUUAAGAUUAUCAUUCGCUUUCCGGCACUCACCUAUAAAGGUGUUCGUAUCGGCAACUGAAGUCAUCAGACUUAUCAUCGUGUCGAAUUUAUCAUCUCGCUCUUAAUCGCCAAUACUUCA
Cyphomyrmex costatus is the source of this 1488-nucleotide RNA transcript. RefSeq lists it as uncharacterized. The transcript is spliced from 6 exons. NCBI's taxonomy places the organism in Eukaryota, Metazoa, Arthropoda, Insecta, Hymenoptera, Formicidae. The record is from RefSeq and is a predicted model, not a curated record.